GGAGAGGGCUAGCGUUAUUCGGAAUUAUUGGGCGUAAAGGGCGCGUAGGCGGAUUAGUAAGUUAAAAGUGAAAUCCCAAGGCUCAACCUUGGAAUUGCUUUUAAAACUGCUAAUCUAGAGAUUGAAAGAGGAUAGAGGAAUUCCUAGUGUAGAGGUGAAAUUCGUAAAUAUUAGGAGGAACACCAGUGGCGAAGGCGUCUAUCUGGUUCAAAUCUGACGCUGAGGCGCGAAGGCGUGGGGAGCAAACAGGAUUAGAUACCCUGGUAGUCCACGCUGUAAACGAUGAAUGUUAAAUAUGGGGAGUUUACUUUCUGUAUUACAGCUAACGCGUUAAACAUUCCGCCUGGGGACUACGGUCGCAAGAUUAAAACUCAAAGGAAUUGACGGGGACCCGCACAAGCGGUGGAGCAUGUGGUUUAAUUCGAUGCAACGCGAAGAACCUUACCUGGCCUUGACAUGUCGAGAACUUUCCAGAGAUGGAUUGGUGCCUUCGGGAACUCGAACACAGGUGC
This 512-nucleotide ribosomal RNA is filed under the name bacterium symbiont of Megymenum gracilicorne. RNAcentral's name for it is "bacterial SSU rRNA". It matches the Rfam family "Bacterial small subunit ribosomal RNA", at positions 527 to 1041 of the family's 1533-position model. The record is from RNAcentral.